UUGCCAAUUCAUAUGAUACCUUUGAGGUGAAAAAGAAAAAGAGAUAUGGUUCAAAUGUAUCUUCCUUAAUAAAACUUAUAACAUAAAGUUGCUCACAUGUCAUGAAAACCAUAAUAGACUAAAUUUGUUUUUGUUUUGUUUUGUUUUUUGUUUUUUGUUUUUGCAGCUGGUCUUAUUGAUCUUCUCUCCUUGCUCCAUUAGUUAAUGCAAUGAAUGGUUAUAAAUGAUUACCGAUGAGGUUAGAUGCUUUACUACAAACAUAGAAUAUUUGCUAAAAGAAGAUAAAAAUUAAAGUCUUCCCGUAUUUAAGGUUUACACUCAUAGAAGACUAAGCAUGCAUGUUUAGUGCAUAAUUUCCAAGAUUUAUUUAUUUAUUUAUUGAUAAUUCCAAGCAAUCAGUAGCUUAUUAUAUAACUUGAACCAUGUCUAAUUUCCCAAAUCUCUACGCUUCACUAUUUAGAUCUUUAGAUACAUUUUUGCAGUCGAUGGGCUGGCGGUGCAAACAGUCAGUGCCUA
RNAcentral lists this long non-coding RNA (516 nucleotides) under Prunus persica (peach). RNAcentral describes it as "long non-coding RNA (PPER_LNC006633)". Lineage: Eukaryota; Viridiplantae; Streptophyta; Magnoliopsida; Rosales; Rosaceae. The record is from RNAcentral.